CCGGAGGGAGUGACCGAGGAGUUAGCGAAGGGGACACUAGAGGUGGUAGUAGAGGGGGAUGAGAGGGUUGCGGAGGACGAGAGGACGCCAAAGAUGACGGAUGACGAUGUAGUAUUCGUGUUGGAGGGGGCGAUGGAGGUGCCGAAGGGUAAGAAGCGUGCUAAUGACGCGCCAGAGCUGAUGGUACGUAAGAGAUCGAGAUUGCCGUCACAGUACAUUGUUUCCCCAUACACGACCGAGGCGAAGAGAAGGGGUUUUGUGGAUGGGACGUUCCCCAAUCUUUUUCGCGACGUCGACCCGGUCAGACAGAAGGCGUUCGAUGAUUGGUUCAAAUCUCUUAAGUCCGAGAAAGUAUUUUAUGAUUUUGCUAUUAUUUUUUUGUAUUUUUCGUAACUUUUUUUCAUUUUUCAAAGAUAGUUAUACCAUCGGCUGUAUGACCGUGCCCAACGCUAAAAGGUGGUUCGAAGAUGUACUGACGACCUCAGCUUGGCUCGCUGAUGAUGUAAGUUUUUUG
RNAcentral lists this long non-coding RNA (514 nucleotides) under Olea europaea subsp. europaea. The record is from RNAcentral. Lineage: Eukaryota; Viridiplantae; Streptophyta; Magnoliopsida; Lamiales; Oleaceae.